CCCAAAGAUACCCACCCCCGGUACAUAAAUGUCCUCCCUUGAGUAUGGGAGGAAACUGAAUAUAAUGGAAUAGUCACUGCCAUGAUUAAAUUAUGUCAUGUAAAACAAUGUCAUAGUAGAUUAGGGGGACUUGCUGUCAGUUGACAGCUAGCAAGAAAGCAGAAUCCUCAGUCCUACAACUGUAAAAAACCGAAUUCUUUCAACAACGUAAAUGAGCUUAGAAGAGAACAACUGCCUCCAGAUGAGACACUGACAUCUUGUGACUCCUUGAUUUCAGCUUUGUGAGACUCUGAGCAAAGAAUCCAGCUAAGCUGAGCUAAGUUUGUAGUAAUUUGUCAUACAGCAAUAGAAAACUAAUAGAGUAGGUAACAGAACAAGUGAUAUGGAGCAAUGGUAAAAAUCAUGAAGGUAGUAACUCAAAUGACUGAGGCUUGUAAAACACUGUCCCACCCCAGGAGACAGAACUACUAGACCCAGUCACGGAGGAAAGCCCCUGCCUUGGGUCCUGCACAUUAAUGGGUAUCAAAUAUCACAAAUACACACAUCCACAUCCACACAUACACACAAAAUGGGCAUACACAGGCCCGUCUAUUUGGAAUCCAACACUGAGUACUAGCAGCACACAAUCUAUAAGUCCUAAUAUCUGCUUGCAUGGCCAGUGUCAUUCAGGUGCCAGGGAAAUGCUUCUGCCAUUCGUUACCUGAUGUCCUUGUCUUAGUCCAUUUGGGCUGCUAUAAAAAACAUACUAUAAAGUAGGUGGCUUAUAAUUAACAAAAAUUUAUUUUUCACAGUUCUGGAGGCUGGGAAGCCCAAGAGCAAGAUGCUGGCCCCAAGAUUUGGUGUCUGGUGAGUGUCUGCUUCCUCAUAGAUGGCUGUCUUCUCACUGUAAUUUCAUAUGGUGGAAAGGGUGAAUAAACUCUCUAAAGCCUCUUUCGUAAGUCACUGAUCCCAUCAAAGGUUCUACCUUCAUGACCUAACCACCUCCCUAAAGUCCCACUCCACAAUACAAUCACCUUGAGGGUUAUUAUUUCAACAUACAAAUUUCUGGGGGACACAUACGGACCAGAAGGUUGUAAAGCUUUGUGUGUUAUGCUGCUCCUGGCAUCAGAAACACAAAAUGCCCCAGAAUGCAAGGAGGACUUGGGGUAUGGAGAUGGAGUUUAAGUAAAAGACAAACCAAAUAACUUGUGAAAU
This 1194-nucleotide long non-coding RNA is filed under the name Homo sapiens (human). RNAcentral describes it as "HSALNT0047736". Lineage: Eukaryota; Metazoa; Chordata; Mammalia; Primates; Hominidae. The record is from RNAcentral.